RNAcentral lists this long non-coding RNA (1856 nucleotides) under Macaca fascicularis (crab-eating macaque). RNAcentral describes it as "lncRNA (ENSMFAG00000057261.1)". The record is from RNAcentral. Lineage: Eukaryota; Metazoa; Chordata; Mammalia; Primates; Cercopithecidae.
GGUGGGGUGGAUCAGCUGCUUCCCACCUCUUUUAAAAAUUCAAAAUCCUUUAUUAAGUUGCUUCAGAACUAUAUGGUGUCUGCUUAUGAAAUUAACUGGACUCUAGCAUUGGACCCAUUGAAAAACAGACAGCCGACCUUUUGGAAGGGAGGAUGUCCAAAUAAACAUCUCCUCUUCCCUUGGACCACACACAGGGAGAAGAAACCAGCUUCAAGCAAUUGGCCCUAAUGUGUGUGUUAAUCUUUCCUCCACUCUCCUCCUUUAUUUAUUUGCCAUCAUACAGAGAUGGCACCCUUAUUCUUUACAGGUGGAUCAAUAUUUACAGCCAUUCAGUGGGGACUUUGUUGGCUCUUCCUGUUCUGCAGGCUGCUGUGUAACAAAAGCUGCCUGUUUUUCUGGGACCCUCCACAUCUGCUAGCAGAACUGCAGUGAGUAUUACUUGGGGCUUUGACUGAUGACCAGUUCAAAGUCAGUUUGUUUGGAGUGCUUACAAUAAUCUUCCUGUUUGCUAGGAAGUAAAAUAACUCUGCUACACACAGGUAUCAGACCCAGAAGGCAGAUAUGUGGUUCACAGUAGACAUUUAUUUCUCCAUCUUUAUUUUUUCUCAUGAUCACCUCAACAUUCUGAUGUGUGAUCACAACCAUCUGUACAAUUAUAGUUAUUGAAGCUACUGUAAGUUUAAAAUUGAAGGUUGCAUAGGUGCACAUUAACAAGGGUGGUACUGAUAAAUUUUUAAAAAGAGGUAGCUGAUCACAACAGCAUUUUAAAAUUAAUGAAUGCAAUUGGCUUUAAUUAUAAAAAAAAAUACGUAUGUCUAGCAGGCUUCCUCAAUAAGGCUUUUUUAUGCUGACUGUGGCACAUUUUUCCUCAAAUAAUUGCAGAGCUCAGCUUUAUCAUUAAGCAGAUGGUUUCUAUUAAUUCCCAAAGAAAGUAAAUGAUUGCAAUUAACCAAACACUCAAAACUUGAGGAUUUUAGAGUUCAGCCCUAGUACUUCAGGCAGGAAUCUGUGUGUUACCCUGUUAGUCAAGGAAUGCCAAAAAGGAGACACUCUCUUGACAAUUUCAUAAUGUCUCCUCCCUUAUAGAUGGGCUUUGAAAGUAACUUCGAGCAUUCUCAAAGCUAAGUUACUGCUAAAACUCUGUUGACUUGCUAGUUCUAAGUUUUUGUGGUGUUUUCUGUUGAUUUGUUGUUUUGUAGUAGGAAGAGAAUUGGUAAUUUUCUAGAUACAUCUGAGUAUCAGUUGAAAACAGUUCAGAAACUGUAAAUUCAGGUAGUACUAUAGGGGUUAUGUCUUUUCAACAGAUACCACUGUGUUUCUUUGCUCUAUAGUACGACAUUUGAGAGACUGUUUUGUUAGUAGUUUCAAAGAAAGGAUAAACUGAUAGAGAAUACCCUUAUGCAAGUCACCCCUUCUCUUCCAGUAAAUAAACUAAUGUUUCCAGUGAAUUUCUUCAGACUUGUUGGUUUUAACCAAAUGAUACUGCUGCUUCUUUUCCUCAUUUUAAAAUUAAGUCAUUUACUCAACAGAUUUUUUGUUUCUUUCUUUUAAGAUAAGGUCUCGGCCGGGCGCGGUGGCUCAAGCCUGUAAUCCCAGCACUUUCGGAGGCCGAGACGGGUGGAUCACGAGGUCAGGAGAUCGAGACCAUCCUGGCUAACACGGGUGAAACCCCAUCUCUACUAAGAAAUACAAAAAACUAGCCUGGCGAGCCUGUAGUCCCAGCUACUCGGGAGGCUGAGGCCGGAGAAUGGCGUGAACCCGGGAGGGCGGAGCUUGCAGUGAGCUGAGAUCCGGCCACUGCACUCCAGCCUGGGCUACAGAGCGAGACUCCGUCUCAAAAAAAAAAAAAAAAAAAA